Molecule: unclassified non-coding RNA, 211 nt
Filed under: Hevea brasiliensis (rubber tree)
Lineage: Eukaryota; Viridiplantae; Streptophyta; Magnoliopsida; Malpighiales; Euphorbiaceae
Source: RNAcentral
GCCGAUUGAACGUGCUCAGAUUCACUUAUUUUAUACUUUUCCAUGUAGUUGGAAAUUGGAAGUAUGGGAAUUUUGGUUUGAAGAAUCCCAUUAUUGUUGUAGACAAAUGGAAGUGACAAAGCAUCGACAGGAUGAAUGUUAGAAAUCUUUCUAUCAUACCUUUGAUGUACAUGCAUAGCUGCUGUCCUGUAAACACCUCUACCGAAGAAAU